This 552-nucleotide ribosomal RNA is filed under the name fungal sp. 57537. Its description in RNAcentral is "eukaryotic LSU rRNA". The stretch from base 189 to 342 matches the Rfam family "5.8S ribosomal RNA". Lineage: Eukaryota; Fungi. The record is from RNAcentral.
GGUUUCCGUAGGUGAACCUGCGGAAGGAUCAUUACGUAUUAGGGCUGCCCUUCGGCGCUCUUUACACACCCACCCUUUGCCUAUGUGUACCUUUCAUAGCUUCCUCGGCGGGCUCGCCCGCCGCCAGGAACCCACGAAACCCCUUGCAUCCUACAUGAAAACUUCCGAUUACCAACCUAAAUUAUCACAACUUUCAACAAUGGAUCUCUUGGUUCUGGCAUCGAUGAAGAACGCAGCGAAAUGCGAUAAGUAGUGUGAAUUGCAGAAUUCAGUGAAUCAUCGAAUCUUUGAACGCACAUUGCGGCCAUAGGUAUUCCUUUGGCCAUGCCUGUUCGAGCGUCAUUUACACCCUCAAGCCUAGCUUGGUGUUGGGCGUCUUUGUCCCGCCGUCUUCUCGCGCGCGGACACGCCUCAAAGUCAUUGGCGGCGGUCGUGCCGGCCCCUCGCGCAGCACAUUUGCGCUUCUCGGAGGCCUGGCGGAUCCGCGCUCCAGCAAGACCUUUUCAUGACUUGACCUCGGAUCAGGUAGGGAUACCCGCUGAACUUAAGCAU